Molecule: ribosomal RNA, 492 nt
Filed under: uncultured bacterium
Lineage: Bacteria
Description: bacterial SSU rRNA
Rfam family: Bacterial small subunit ribosomal RNA
Source: RNAcentral
UGAACGCUAGCUACAGGCUUAACACAUGCAAGUCGAGGGGCAGCAUGAAGAUGUGCUUGCACAACUUUGAUGGCGACCGGCGCACGGGUGAGUAACGCGUAUCCAACCUUCCCUAUAGUAGAGAAUAGCCCGGCGAAAGUCGGAUUAAUGCUCUAUGUUCUUCUUUGAUGGCAUCUGACGAGAAGCAAAGGUUCACCGCUAUAGGAUGGGGAUGCGUCUGAUUAGCUUGUUGGCGGGGUAACGGCCCACCAAGGCUACGAUCAGUAGGGGUUCUGAGAGGAAGGUCCCCCACAUUGGUACUGAGACACGGACCAAACUCCUACGGGAGGCAGCAGUGAGGAAUAUUGGUCAAUGGGCGAGAGCCUGAACCAGCCAAGUAGCGUGCAGGACGACUGCCCUAUGGGUUGUAAACUGCUUUUAUGCGGGAAUAAAGUCCACUACGUGUAGUGGUUUGUAUGUACCGCAUGAAUAAGGACCGGCUAAUUCCGUGCC